This 465-nucleotide ribosomal RNA is filed under the name uncultured bacterium. Its description in RNAcentral is "partial 16S ribosomal RNA". It matches the Rfam family "Bacterial small subunit ribosomal RNA", at positions 28 to 507 of the family's 1533-position model. The record is from RNAcentral.
GACGAACGCUGGCGGCGUGCUUAACACAUGCAAGUCGAACGGAAAGGCCCUGCUUGCAGGGUACUCGAGUGGCGAACGGGUGAGUAACACGUGGGUGAUCUGCCCUGCACUUCGGGAUAAGCCGGGGAAACGGGGCCAAAUACGGAAAGGAACCCAUGUUAGGUGUGAGGGUUGGAAGGUUUUUUCGGUGUAGGAUGAGCUCGGGUCGUAUCGGCUUGUUGGUGGGGUAAUGGCCUACCAAGGCGGCGACGGGUAGCCGGCCUGAGAGGGUGGACGGCCACAUUGGGACUGAGAUACGGCCCAGACUCCUACGGGAGGCAGCAGUGGGGAAUAUUGCACAAUGGGCGCAAGCCUGAUGCAGCGACGCCGCGUGGGGGAUGACGGCCUUCGGUUUGUAAACUCCUUUCGCUAGGGACGAAGCUUUUUGUGACGGUACCUAGAUAAGAAGCACCGGCUAACUACGUG